GACGGUGACAGAAAGGACAAGGACACAGUCAAAGAAGAAGAAGAAGAAGAAGAGACAGACAACGAGAGAGAGCUACUGCAACUGUCGAGGAAACAUCGUCACUUCACUUCAAAAUCUGAAUGAUGGUCAGAUUCAGUUUUGGAAAAGAAAGCGGAGGAGAACAGAGAGCAUUCAAAAUGAUCGCCAAGACUUUGGUCUUUGUUGUAAUACUGAUUGCAUCCACCAGCCCGACAGCAGAAGGAAGCCUGAAACUCAGGUGUCCCAGAAGUGUAAAUCCAAGUGCCCCGACAUCCACCACAGCUGGUCCCACAGCUGGUCCAACAACUGGUCCCACAGCUGGUCCCACAGCUGGUCCAACAACUGGUCCAACAACUGGUCCAACAACUGGUCCCACAGC
Hippoglossus stenolepis (Pacific halibut) is the source of this 397-nucleotide long non-coding RNA. RefSeq lists it as uncharacterized. Lineage: Eukaryota; Metazoa; Chordata; Actinopteri; Pleuronectiformes; Pleuronectidae. The transcript is spliced from 3 exons. The record is from RefSeq and is a predicted model, not a curated record.